This 484-nucleotide ribosomal RNA is filed under the name uncultured Saprospiraceae bacterium. RNAcentral describes it as "bacterial SSU rRNA". It matches the Rfam family "Bacterial small subunit ribosomal RNA", at positions 28 to 505 of the family's 1533-position model. The record is from RNAcentral. Lineage: Bacteria; Pseudomonadati; Bacteroidota; Saprospiria; Saprospirales; Saprospiraceae.
GAUGAACGCUAGCGGGAGGCUUAAUACAUGCAAGUCGAGGGGCAGCAGGCCGACUUCGGUUGGUGCUGGCGACCGGCGCACGGGUGAGUAACGCGUACACAAUCUACCUUCAAGACUGGGAUAGCCCUGGGAAACUGGGAGUAAUACCGGAUGUGAUUACGGAAUAAUAAUAAUUUGUAAUUAAAGCUGCGGUGCUUGAAGAUGAGUGUGCGUCCCAUUAGCUAGUUGGUGUGGUAACGGCAUACCAAGGCUACGAUGGGUAGGGGGCGUGAGAGCGUGGACCCCCACACGGGUACUGAGACACGGACCCGACUCCUACGGGAGGCAGCAGUAAGGAAUAUUGGACAAUGGGCGCAAGCCUGAUCCAGCCAUCCCGCGUGUAGGAUGACUGCCCUAUGGGUUGUAAACUACUUUUAGAUAGGAAGAAACCCCUAGAUUUAUCUAGGGCUGACGGUACUAUCAGAAUAAGCACCGGCUAACUCCG